Molecule: ribosomal RNA, 1432 nt
Filed under: Salmonella enterica subsp. enterica
Lineage: Bacteria; Pseudomonadati; Pseudomonadota; Gammaproteobacteria; Enterobacterales; Enterobacteriaceae
Description: bacterial LSU rRNA
Rfam family: Bacterial large subunit ribosomal RNA
Source: RNAcentral
GGUAUAGACCCGAAACCCGGUGAUCUAGCCAUGGGCAGGUUGAAGGUUGGGUAACACUAACUGGAGGACCGAACCGACUAAUGUUGAAAAAUUAGCGGAUGACCUGUGGCUGGGGGUGAAAGGCCAAUCAAACCGGGAGAUAGCUGGUUCUCCCCGAAAGCUAUUUAGGUAGCGCCUCGUGAAUUCAUCUCCGGGGGUAGAGCACUGUUUCGGCUAGGGGGCCAUCCCGGCUUACCAACCCGAUGCAAACUGCGAAUACCGGAGAAUGUUAUCACGGGAGACACACGGCGGGUGCUAACGUCCGUCGUGAAGAGGGAAACAACCCAGACCGCCAGCUAAGGUCCCAAAGUCAUGGUUAAGUGGGAAACGAUGUGGGAAGGCCCAGACAGCCAGGAUGUUGGCUUAGAAGCAGCCAUCAUUUAAAGAAAGCGUAAUAGCUCACUGGUCGAGUCGGCCUGCGCGGAAGAUGUAACGGGGCUAAACCAUGCACCGAAGCUGCGGCAGCGACACUCAGGUGUUGUUGGGUAGGGGAGCGUUCUGUAAGCCUGCGAAGGUGGCCUGUGAGGGUUGCUGGAGGUAUCAGAAGUGCGAAUGCUGACAUAAGUAACGAUAAAGCGGGUGAAAAGCCCGCUCGCCGGAAGACCAAGGGUUCCUGUCCAACGUUAAUCGGGGCAGGGUGAGUCGACCCCUAAGGCGAGGCCGAAAGGCGUAGUCGAUGGGAAACGGGUUAAUAUUCCCGUACUUGGUGUUACUGCGAAGGGGGGACGGAGAAGGCUAUGUUGGCCGGGCGACGGUUGUCCCGGUUUAAGCGUGUAGGUGUGUGUUCCAGGUAAAUCCGGUUCACUUUAACACUGAGGCGUGAUGACGAGGCACUACGGUGCUGAAGCAACAAAUGCCCUGCUUCCAGGAAAAGCCUCUAAGCAUCAGGUAACAUCAAAUCGUACCCCAAACCGACACAGGUGGUCAGGUAGAGAAUACCAAGGCGCUUGAGAGAACUCGGGUGAAGGAACUAGGCAAAAUGGUGCCGUAACUUCGGGAGAAGGCACGCUGACACGUAGGUGAAGUGAUUUACUCAUGGAGCUGAAGUCAGUCGAAGAUACCAGCUGGCUGCAACUGUUUAUUAAAAACACAGCACUGUGCAAACACGAAAGUGGACGUAUACGGUGUGACGCCUGCCCGGUGCCGGAAGGUUAAUUGAUGGGGUCAGCGCAAGCGAAGCUCCUGAUCGAAGCCCCGGUAAACGGCGGCCGUAACUAUAACGGUCCUAAGGUAGCGAAAUUCCUUGUCGGGUAAGUUCCGACCUGCACGAAUGGCGUAAUGAUGGCCAGGCUGUCUCCACCCGAGACUCAGUGAAAUUGAACUCGCUGUGAAGAUGCAGUGUACCCGCGGCAAGACGGAAAGACCCCGUGAACCUUUACUAUAGCUUGACACU